Long non-coding RNA from Rhinichthys klamathensis goyatoka, 328 nucleotides. RefSeq lists it as uncharacterized. The record is from RefSeq and is a predicted model, not a curated record. Lineage: Eukaryota; Metazoa; Chordata; Actinopteri; Cypriniformes; Leuciscidae. The transcript has 3 exons.
CAGCGUUACCAUGGAUACCGGGCGGCAGCUCAACUGACAAGCAGCACAACUCCGUCUCUAGCUGUUGUUUUCACUACUUUCAGUAUUGUUAGCUCCAACCCCAAUUAAUCAGAUCUGAGCAGCUGACCAAACAUCACCAGAAACUCUGCAGAACAUUGGUCUGGUCUGGUCUGGAUGCCACUGUUGCUAAAGCAUUCAAAGUAAAAACGUCAGUCGUGGCUCAAUAGUCUGGGGUUGGGAUGGUGGAAGGAGCAGAAGAACCAGAAGAUCGGAGAUCAGGAAGAGAUCUAUUGGUGCCCCUGAGGGAACUGAUUUAAUGUGUAAAAUU